This 450-nucleotide ribosomal RNA is filed under the name uncultured bacterium. RNAcentral describes it as "bacterial SSU rRNA". It matches the Rfam family "Bacterial small subunit ribosomal RNA", at positions 354 to 796 of the family's 1533-position model. The record is from RNAcentral.
GUGGGGAAUAUUGGACAAUGGGGGAAACCCUGAUCCAGCAACGCCGCGUGGAGGAUGAAGGUCUUCGGAUUGUAAACUCCUGUUAGGGGGGACGAAGGGCUGCCGGCGAACAGCCGGCAGACUUGACGGUACCCCCAGAGGAAGCCCCGGCUAACUCUGUGCCAGCAGCCGCGGUAAUACAGAGGGGGCGAGCGUUAUUCGGAAUUAUUGGGCGUAAAGGGCGCGUAGGCGGCUGGGUAAGUCCUGGGUGAAAUCCCUCAGCUCAACUGAGGAACUGCCUCGGAAACUACCCGGCUUGAGGCCGGGAGAGGGUAGUGGAAUUCCCAGUGUAGCGGUGAAAUGCGUAGAUAUUGGGAGGAACACCGGUGGCGAAGGCGGCUACCUGGACCGGUUCUGACGCUGAUGCGCGAAAGCGUGGGGAGCAAACAGGAUUAGAAACCCGAGUAGUCC